AUUGAACGCUGGCGGCAUGCCUUACACAUGCAAGUCGAACGGUAACAGGUCUUCGGAUGCUGACGAGUGGCGAACGGGUGAGUAAUACAUCGGAACGUGCCUAGUAGUGGGGGAUAACUACUCGAAAGAGUGGCUAAUACCGCAUGAGAUCUACGGAUGAAAGCAGGGGAUCGCAAGACCUUGUGCUACUAGAGCGGCCGAUGGCAGAUUAGGUAGUUGGUGGGAUAAAAGCUUACCAAGCCGACGAUCUGUAGCUGGUCUGAGAGGACGAUCAGCCACACUGGGACUGAGACCCGCCCCGACCUCCUACGGAGGGCAGCAGUGGGGAAUUUUGGACAAUGGGCGAAAGCCUGGUCCAGCAAUGCCGCGUGCAGGAUGAAGGCCUUCGGGUUGUAAACUGCUUUUGUACGGAACGAAAAGCCCCGGGUUAAUACCCUGGGGUCAUGACGGUACCGUAAGAAUAAGCACCGGCUAACUACGUGCCAGCCGCCGCAGUAA
This 498-nucleotide ribosomal RNA is filed under the name uncultured bacterium. RNAcentral's name for it is "partial 16S ribosomal RNA". It matches the Rfam family "Bacterial small subunit ribosomal RNA", at positions 30 to 523 of the family's 1533-position model. The record is from RNAcentral.